RNAcentral lists this ribosomal RNA (468 nucleotides) under uncultured bacterium. Its description in RNAcentral is "partial 16S ribosomal RNA". It matches the Rfam family "Bacterial small subunit ribosomal RNA", at positions 28 to 507 of the family's 1533-position model. The record is from RNAcentral.
GACGAACGCUGGCGGCGUGCUUAACACAUGCAAGUCGAACGGAAAGGCACUGCUUUUGUGGGGUGCCCGAGUGGCGAACGGGUGAGUAACACGUGAGUAACCUGCCCUUGACUUUGGGAUAACUUCAGGAAACUGGGGCUAAUAUCGGAUAGGAGCUCCUGCUGCAUGGUGGGGGUUGGAAAGUUUCGGCGGUUGGGGAUGGACUCGCGGCUUAUCAGCUUGUUGGUGGGGUAGUGGCUUACCAAGUCUUUGACGGGUAGCCGGCCUGAGAGGGUGACCGGCCACAUUGGGACUGAGAUACGGCGCAGACUCCUACGGGAGGCAGCAGUGGGGAGUAUUGCACAGUGGGCGGAAGCCUGAUGCAGCAACGCCGCGUGCGUGAUGACGGCCUUCGGGUUGUAAACCGCUUUCGCCUGUGACGAAGCGUGAGUGACGGUAAUGGGUAAAGAAGCACCGGCUAACUACGUG